GCCGGGUUGGUGGAACGGCAGACACCGAGACCUCAAAAGUCUCUGCCCGAGAGGGCGUGCGGGUUCGAAUCCCGCACCCGGCA
Molecule: transfer RNA, 83 nt
Filed under: Quadrisphaera oryzae
Lineage: Bacteria; Bacillati; Actinomycetota; Actinomycetes; Kineosporiales; Kineosporiaceae
Description: tRNA-Leu
Rfam family: tRNA
About the family: Transfer RNA (tRNA) molecules are approximately 80 nucleotides in length. Their secondary structure includes four short double-helical elements and three loops (D, anti-codon, and T loops).
Source: RNAcentral